CCUACGGGAGGCAGCAGUGGGGAAUUUUGCACAAUGGGGGAAACCCUGAUGCAGCGACGCCGCGUGAGUGAAGAAGUAUUUCGGUAUGUAAAGCUCUAUCAGCAGGGAAGAAAAUGACGGUACCUGAUUAAGAAGCCCCGGCUAACUACGUGCCAGCAGCCGCGGUAAUACGUAGGGGGCGAGCGUUCUCCGGAUUUACUGGGUGUAAAGGGCGCGUAGUCGGCAGCACAAUUCUGGAGUGAAAUGCGGGGCCUGAACCCCGGAACUGCUUUGGAAACUGUGCAGCUAGAGUGCAGGAGAGGUAAGUGGAAUUCCUAGUGUAGCGGUGAAAUGCGUAGAUAUUAGGAGGAACACCAGUGGCGAAGGCGGCUUACUGGACUGUAACUGACGUUGAGGCUCGAAAGCGUGGGGAGCAAACAGGAUUAGAUACCCGUGUAGUC
RNAcentral lists this ribosomal RNA (440 nucleotides) under uncultured bacterium. Its description in RNAcentral is "partial 16S ribosomal RNA". It matches the Rfam family "Bacterial small subunit ribosomal RNA", at positions 338 to 795 of the family's 1533-position model. The record is from RNAcentral.